CCACCGUGGCUGCCAUCCCUCGGGUGCGGCGAUCUCGACUCGGCCUCUGAACCUGGGUGGUGGCAGGUCGAGGAAAGCACACAGUGCCGCCAAAGGGGCACUGAACAACUGGUCGUUGUCCGUGGAGGGGUACUAAACUCUGGUGAACGGCGGGACGUUGCCAAAAGGUGUUGGGCUUCCCAUCUAUAGAAAAUAAAGAUGGAGAUAAGGGAGUAUCAGUGACAUGAUCAAAUGGUCGAAUGUAAGUAAAAAUAAAAUAA
This 260-nucleotide long non-coding RNA is filed under the name Brachypodium distachyon (stiff brome). RNAcentral describes it as "long non-coding RNA (BDIS_LNC000701)". Lineage: Eukaryota; Viridiplantae; Streptophyta; Magnoliopsida; Poales; Poaceae. The record is from RNAcentral.